UUCUUAUUUUAAAAUUUUUUUGUACUUGAGUAGUAAGAGUAGGAUAAGCUGUUUUAAUCUUUCUAUGAUACUUGAAACUUAAAAGGCUUGGCGGUGUUAUAUAUCCUUCCAGGGGAGCCUGUUUAUUAAUUUGAUAAUCCACAAUUUAUACUUACUUUUUUUUGAAUUUUACAGCUUGUGUAUUGCUGUCGUCAGUUUAUUUCGUAAGAAGGUUAUAAAAAACUUUAUAAUGUAGUAGUUAUGAUGUCAAGUCAAAAUGCAGCUUAUAGAAAAGGUUUAUAAAGUGGGCUACGAUUUAUAAUAUUUAAUCGAACUAGGCUAUGUAAUUAGCUUAUGAAGUUGGACUUGGUAGUAACGAGACAAAUAGUGAGUUCUUGUGAAUUAGGUUUUAUAAUGCG
This 398-nucleotide ribosomal RNA is filed under the name Sepioteuthis australis. Its description in RNAcentral is "partial 12S ribosomal RNA". Lineage: Eukaryota; Metazoa; Mollusca; Cephalopoda; Myopsida; Loliginidae. The record is from RNAcentral.